GGUGAACCUGCAGAUGGAUCAUCGU
RNAcentral lists this ribosomal RNA (25 nucleotides) under Heterorhabditis sp. APM-2016. Its description in RNAcentral is "partial 18S ribosomal RNA". Lineage: Eukaryota; Metazoa; Nematoda; Chromadorea; Rhabditida; Heterorhabditidae. The record is from RNAcentral.